Molecule: long non-coding RNA, 1308 nt
Filed under: Crocodylus porosus (Australian saltwater crocodile)
Lineage: Eukaryota; Metazoa; Chordata; Crocodylia; Crocodylidae
Description: lncRNA (ENSCPRG00005010251.1)
Source: RNAcentral
UCAGUUUUAAUUUAACGUAAAUCCACAAGGAAAAUAGGCAUUCACUUUUAAUGAUAAAAUUGUAGGCCUUGCCCUCUGCUCCAGAGCAAAAACAAGAAUAGAGCAGAUGUAUAUUACAAUGGGAGGAGCCUCCUCGCCAGGGGAUGAUUCUAACAAGAAGGCUCAAGGACUCAUGAGGGGCCUCAUUUUGCUGCUGUUGAGGAAAGAAGGAACCUGUCCUUUCUGCUGUUAUGGCUUCACAUACAGGAACUGGAAAUGGGACUUUAUUGAAGACACCCUUUCAACACUGUCAUGUCUGGGACAGCAAGCACCUGGUACCGUAUCAAGGCCCUAUUGUGCAUCUUACACAAAGUGGAACAGCAGAUGAGCACUGUACCAAAAGGGGACACAAUCUGAAAGAUAAGGGGCUGAGACUACCUUUCCUGCCCUGGCUUAUGAGGCCCCGUGAGGGACAGCUGGACUGCCAACAGGAGCACUUCAACUAUGGACUGGGCCUGAUGCAGCAAGCACAUGCAGCACAGGGAUGGAGAAGAGGGCAAGCCCCCCCACCAAUGUGUGUGGCUCUGGUCCCACACCACGGCAGGCUGUCUAGAUCUGUGAAGCCCUGAACAACUAGCUUUUCACUUGUGUGGACCAGGAGCCCUCCCUAGAUGAGUAAGGCCAGAGGGAUUUAAAUGCCCAUGGUCUGGCACUGGGCCAUGGGUCUUUGGCCAUGGGCUCCUCUGACCCUGCUUCACAUCCACCACUGUCCACACCCUAGGCUACCUAGGCACUGUUCCCCUUUCCUCUUCCUCCUCUUACUAUCACAGUUUAUAUAGUAUCCUCAUAUAUGGCCUGACUCAUAAAGAGAAGUGUUGGGAGGAAUGGCCACAGGUCCUGCAGUUUGUGCCAGUGCAGUGGCCACUGUACUGGGCAGCCUGGUAUGAAAUCUAGAAAGGGUAAUGAGUCAUGUGAUAGGACUUGCUCUGGAACAGCCAUGGUCCCUGUGUGGGAAACUGUCACAGGACCUCUCUACACUGCCUCCUUUUCCAGCAAGGUACAUGCAGGUGACUCCUUGGGAACACCCCUGGUCCUGUUGGCUGGGGGGACAUGGGACUCAAAGGUCCAUGGGCUGCCAGCAGAAUGCAACCAAAUAUGAGUCACAAUGGGAUGUGGUGUUCAUUAUCGUACUCUAACUUAUAGCACUGAAGUCUGAUACUGCAUCCAUCCUGGGUUAUCUUAGAGUGGGAUCCAUUUUUUUUAGAGCACUUUGUGUUCCCUGACUUGCAUGGUUACUGGUCAAUAAAUGUAACAACUGCACCUGGCUCA